CUUCAGCGAUCCCAGCCACAGCGGCCGGUCCCGGUCCUGGCCGUACGCGGCGAUCAGGGCCUGCGCUUC
This 69-nucleotide antisense RNA is filed under the name Kibdelosporangium phytohabitans. Its description in RNAcentral is "Kibdelosporangium sp. KLBMP 1111 ASpks TB sRNA". It matches the Rfam family "ASpks TB sRNA". The record is from Rfam by way of RNAcentral. Lineage: Bacteria; Bacillati; Actinomycetota; Actinomycetes; Pseudonocardiales; Pseudonocardiaceae.